RNAcentral lists this transfer RNA (67 nucleotides) under Eurema blanda (three-spot grass yellow). RNAcentral's name for it is "tRNA-Leu". Lineage: Eukaryota; Metazoa; Arthropoda; Insecta; Lepidoptera; Pieridae. The record is from RNAcentral.
ACUAUUUUGACAGAGAAAUGUAAUGGUUUUAGAAGUCAUAAAUAUAUAAUAAAUUAUAUAGAUAGUA